AAACAUCUCAGAGUAGCUAAAGUACUCAUUUAAAAUCAUGUGACUUCAGAGCAGCUUCAUAAAUGUUUCGAAAGCAAAGGAAAGCUGAAGUAAAAUUGUAAGCACAAUCAUGGUUUCACCUAAAGAUCACUUAACAACUGAGUUGAAUCACUAAAUGAGAAUCGCCUGUACUUUACAUUCAGGUUACAUCACUGAGCCAACUCCUUGAUAGCAGUAAUGAGAAGCAGUACCCUUGAAUGUUUCCUGAAUAUAUUAUGAAGGAGGAGUUUCUGAAAUUAGAAGAGAUUGAUGUCCAGUUUAUUUUGGAAGAACACACUCAAAUUCUGGUAGUGUUCCUUAUGAAUCAGUGGAUUCAAGAGUGGUGAUUAUGAGAACACCUGUUCCCAGCGCUGAAGCAUUCCGAUGGUUCUUUUAAGCAGUAGCAUAUCUUAUUUUCAAGGCAGCCUGAAGUGAAAGGCAAGCUAAAGUCUUGCUUUAAGAAAUCGCUUAGUCUACCACUGAAGAAUAUUAUUUUCAUUUUUUGUAUAGGGGUUUCCUCAAAGAAAAAAAAAUCAUGACAUAGAGUGGUCUCCAGGUAAGAGGGAAGACGGUACAUUUGAAGAGGCUGUAUCUGAUAAAGCAGAACGUCCCCCCCAUUGAAAUGCCUGAACAUAAGAUAGUACUGUUUUAUUUUCUGUCUCAUAUUCACCGUCUGAUAGCAUGUCCUGUUGUGUUUCAUCUUGUUUAGAUAAAGCUUCUGCCAUUUCUUAGCAACUGCAUUCUGGGCAUUAGUUCCUCAAAUCUUAAAAUGACAUUCAGUUUCCUCUUGAAAGGCCCUCUUAGUAAGACAACACUCCAUAUAAGAGAGCAUUAACUAGCUUUUGAGGGCUACUAUCUUAUCCGGAGACCACCAUACCUGGGAUCCUGACAAUUGGCCAGUUUGCUCACAUUCAGUACACCAAUUUUUUUGUUGAUGUAAUUUAGCUAUAACUAGUGAACUUGUUGUCUAUUUUUAAAGUGGCUGUUAAAAACAAAAUUAUACGUUUGGGUAAACCCCUGCUAUAAAAUAAUGUAUCUUGACAAAGUACCAUAUCUCUACUUCAUUUUUCCAAUGAUUUGUGUUUUGGUACUAUAAACUGUACAGAUAGCCGCUUGUAUUUUGUGUGUUUAGACACGAGGAGACAAUCACAUCUGACCAACUAUGGAGAUUAGCCCAUUGUUCACAUCAGUGUAGUUCUACAAUUUAAAUCUGGAGCAAUAAAUUUAAGCAUUAAGAAUCUUCCUCUUCUAACCUCCCUCCCCCUUUUUUUUUUUUUUUUGGUUGCCACUGUCCAGUAUCAUCAGCAGCAGUACAGGUAGUAUUCUUACCAUACACUUUGCUGUUAGUACCUGGAGCAAAGUUGUUCAAAAGAAGAUACAAAAAUGUCUCUUUCAGAUAUUUUCAGGACACAGUAUUGUAUGACAGGGAAGAUACAGGCAGUAACAGUUAAUCCUCAUAAGUAUUAUCUUAUAAGAGCAAUUAUGCUCACCCAUUGAUUCAGAAAAGUUUAACAAAAGUCAAGAAACUGCAGUUCCUAUAAAAUAGGUUUUAAAGCAGGGGUAGGCAACUAUGGCCACUUUACGACAUAUGAACUUCAACUCCUAGGCUCAGGAAUUCUGAGAGUUGAAGUUUAUAGGUUGUAAAGGGGUCAUAGUUGCCCACCUCUGUUUUAAAGUAUAGGAAGACAUAAAAUUUCAAUGUUGCAGAGCUACAGCAGAAUGGUUUGUUACACAAAAUGAAAACAGUUUCGUAUGUUGAGAGGAACAGGAAAUCUCUCACUUAAUGUAUUUACUUUCCUCUAGAGCAGGGGUGGGGAACGAUGGCCCUUUUAUGACUUGCGGACUUCAGCUCCCAGAAUUUCUGAGCCAGCCAUGGUGUUGAAGUCCACAAGUCAUAAAGGGGCCAUCAUUCCCCACCUGUGUGCUAGAGGUUGCUUUAUAGAUCUUUUAUUAGGGGAAAAAGAUACCUGAAAUUAUUUUUUUCAGUUUGUAAUAUUUAGCCCUUAGACUAGUUUGUAAAUGUAGGUGGGAUUAUAUUUUUUCUUCUAUCUGAAGGACAUGAAAUUCAGAAUGUCUUUUAAGGUGUUCUCAAAUGUUAGCACUUUUAAUAGAAAUGAAAGCUGAAAAUAGAUUGUGAUCUUUUUCUCUUUAAACCUAAUCAGACAUUUAAUUUAUCAUUAUCCUAUUCAGAAAAAACACAAGAAGAUGGGACAGUUAAAAAAAUUUUCUAUGCAGAUUUCUUCAUGGCUAUGGCCAUCUCAUCACAAUUUAGGCUUGCAAAGUAGUUUAUUGGCAAAAAAAAGUGAUAGAAGAGUUUUAAGGGAAAUGCAUGGCUUCAGUUGAUCUAAAAUGAAACUAGAGAGCUUGUUCAGGAUUCUGCAAUUUGCCAGCAAAUAAUUUCUUUUUAUAACUUUUUUUUUAAAAAAAUCUGUAUGAUUUUUGUAAUUGCCAAAAAGGUGGAGUUUAAAACAGACUGGCAGUUUACCAGAAUCUUAGAACAUAGAACUUGUUGAGAAUACACAUUUACAAUUUUUAUAUUCUUUAUUACUGACAUUAACUUUCCCCACCAUACUUUUGAGUAUUUCAUUUGUUCAUAAUUGCCCUGUCAUAUUUAACAAUUGUAGAUCUUUCUCACUUGCAACACAUGAUACGUUGAUGAACAUUUUUUUUAAUCUCAUAAUUGUAAGUACGGAAACAGGAUGGUAUUAGACAUUUAUUCUCUCUAUGUGCAGUUCCUUAUUGAAUCUUUCUCCUUAAAAACAGAAACUAUAUUCCAACAUUUCCCAUUAGAAAAAUACAUGAUUCAAAUAUAUGCAAAGCUUAGUACUUUGCAUAAUAUAUUCCACUUGUGGAACAUUUUGUCACCGAAUAUGAAAUUUUCAAUGUAUAAUUCUAAUGUACAUAAGGAUAAUAAUAAGAUGAAAUAUCUACAUAGCAUUUUUCUUUCAGCAGUUUGUUAUAUUUUAUUUUAUUUUGUCAAGACAGAAGAUACUUUGGCUAGUAGCAAAGUGUUAUGAUUUAAAAGGAGCAGAAAAGGCCAUUGCUAUGAAUCAUUUCCCUCUCUCUGACUUGUUUUCAACAAAUACGUUUUUAUCAUUUUUAUGACUAUUUAACUUAAGAUAGAAAUAUUUGUGAUCUAACACUAAGAGAAUAAAUGAUUCUUUCCCACUAUACAGCAAGCCCAUGAUGUAUAAUUCUGAGAAAGUGACACCUAUUGAAAUCCCCUUAAAACUGCAGAAUUUAGAUAUUCAAAAGAUGCUCUUCAAAUGCACAGAUUUUUAUGAGAUACAUCGUGCUAAUUUUUUAUAGACACAGUUUCAUAUUCUUUUUAUUAUGGUACUUUUUACAUUUUUUGGAACAACUUAGCUGAAUUUUCUAUUGUUUGAAUGAAGGAAUUAUUUAUAAGGAAGGAAAUUGAGAAAAUAGUGUCAAUGGAGAUAUUUAACUUUCAGAAGGGCUUUAUCUUUUUUCUUUUGACAUGCACACAUAUUCACAUACCUAUGUACACACUGAUUUGUGAAGGAUUGGGAGAAUGACCAAGAACUGGCAGGAAUUAUUAGAAGAAUAAAAGUUGAACCGAGUCUGAGUGAUAUUAGAAAAGAUGAUAGUUUGCAAAAUCUUUUAGUGAUAGAUAGUUCUAACCAUAUAACUGCAGGAAAAAAAAUCAUUUUUAUUGUGAGGCUAUUUUAUUCCUGAUGUUAUUUUCUUUAAUAUGAUCUGGCCAUUAUUCUUCAGUAAGCUUUAGGAUGUUACAGCCUAGAAGUUCUUAAUUCCUAGAAUUUGCAUCUGACGUCUCUUUUGACCCAUGCUUUUAUCUCCAGUGAUGUAAGCAUUUGGCUCUUCAGAUUGGCUGAAACUUUUACUCUUGGCCAAAUAGAGAUUGUUGGACUACAUUUAGCAUCUGCUUCCCUGUCCAUUUGUAUUUGACAUGAUACAGAAUAUCCUGUGCAGUAGACAGGCUUUCCAAAAUACUCAUAGGGAUGUCUGUUUGGGUAAAAUAGUUCCUUUCCUUGGUGAUCUUCCAUUCUUUUAGUUGUAAAUCAUCCUAGAUGAGUUUUUUUUUCCAUUCCAAAAUGUUAGGAUAAUACCUUCAGUAUGCAACCUCAUGACUUCAAGUAGUCUGAAGUUGAAUCAACAUGAUGGUUAUUUUUCAUUUUUGUCUUUUUAUCAUUAGAGGUUUUUUUGUGCUAAUUAUUGAGCAAUUGAGUUAUAUGAGGUCAUUUCCCCCCCCCACACACACACACAAACUUCAAAAUAAAUAAAUAAAGACAAAAUUAAAUAUCAAUAUUGUAAAUGCUGGAAACCUCAUUUUCCUACCUCAAUGUUAAACAGCUGGCCUUGUUUGAAAUAAUUUUUGUGACUCCUGUUAAGAAAGAGAGGGGCGAAAAUAUUAGCUUAGGUUCCUUUUGGUAUACAAUGAUUCAUAGUAAUGUACUUAACUGUUUAAUACCCAGAUGUUGCAUGUGUCAGUGUGUUUUUUUUCCUGGAUUUUUUCAUUUUUAUUUUUUAAAAGCUGAUGAAUUUGUAUAUUGUAAUUGUGAUGUUUUACAAAUCAAAUCUGAAUUGUUAAAAAUAUCAAGCCCACUAAUUGCAUAAAAAUAUAAUUACUUUGAUUCCCACACAUUUCAUUUAAUUGUGGUAGAAUUCUACAGCUUUAUUAUUUUUUUCAUUUCACUGAAACAGCAUUUGUAUGUCAUUGUGCAUUAAAGUAUUUUGGUUGCAACUGUUUUGAAAAAGAAAAUAAGUUUUCAGACUUUUCCUCUUCUUUGUGUAAUAACAAAUUAUUUGCAAUGUUGAUUAUAGUUAAAAUUUUAAAUCUUAUUUGUGUUUACCACACAAUGUCCUUAAGGCUGCAAUCCUGAAUGCAAUUACUUGAUGGUAAAAUGUAUUGAAAUCAAUGGAACUUCUAAGUAGAUCUCAAUAAGAUAUGCUGUAAAUAAUUUUUAAAAAUAUAUGAUCUGAAAUGCAAGUACCUUGUGAUAGAAAAGCAGGGUAAAAUAUUUUAAAUAAUAAAUUUCAUAUUUUUGCCAGAGUACUCCUUUACUUUUGAAAAAGGGACAACUCUGCAGGAACCAAUGAUGGAAUUGCCAAGAUUGUUGCUCUACUGAAAUGAGAAGGGAAGCAUAACAUAUUUUGUGCAAGAGUCUGCCUGACAAUAUUGAUAUGCUCAGGAUGUAGUCAACAAGAUAUACCUGAGUAUCAGUUAUGCCAAAUUGUAUCAUAGCCCAGGUAAACCUGUACAAUUAUCUAUAGACAUUACAAGAAUGAAUUACAGUCAUUUCUAGAAGAGAUAGAAGAGAAAUGACAUAUUUUUUUUUGUGUUCCCUCCACUCCACCCUUUUAGGUACCUCAUAAAAUUAACUAUAGGAGGAAAGUUUAAAUUGGCUAUGUCUAUAAUGAAAUAAUAAUAAGACAAAUAAUUAAAUGAACAUUCUAUCCAGGGUGAAAUACAUCCAGCCGAAUCAACAGUGAGUCUUUGAUCACAGCUGGAUGCAUAGUGAUACUCAAAUGGUUGAUUAUGUGUAAUAGCUAAAUGUUUCAGAUAUUGUUUUGAAUAAAUUUGGCAGUUUCACACUGAGGUCUGCUGUUUCCUGGUGCAUAAAAGACACCUCAAAUGUGAGAAAGUAUUCCAUAUUCACAGUUACAGAGAAAUAGGUUUACUUUUUUUCCUCUCUCACAGAAACAUAGACCACAAAAAUGUUCACCAUUCACACUGUUCUCCUAUUUCUGAACUGUGCAGUAAUCUAUUAAAUUUUCUAAUAGAUCUUGUGUAAAGUGUAUGUAUGCUUGUGCAAUUAUGAAAAAGCAGUUUUGGAAAAUGGUGUAUUUAUUUCAAAUCACUUAUGGGGCAUGUACAAAACUGUAUAAAAACAUUCAAUUUGCCCAGUAAAGUUGUUUUUGUGAUAUUUCUGUGUUGUUAAAUAAAGGAAUUUAGUA
This is a long non-coding RNA of Crotalus tigris (Tiger rattlesnake), 5955 nucleotides long. RefSeq lists it as uncharacterized. The record is from RefSeq and is a predicted model, not a curated record. Lineage: Eukaryota; Metazoa; Chordata; Lepidosauria; Squamata; Viperidae. The transcript is spliced from 4 exons.